UGGAGGGCUGGAAGAGGGGGAUAUGACCAAGGAAGGGGAUAUGAACAACCUCCAGUGAAGAGGACAAAGAAUAUCAAUAGUACUCUCAAUCAUUACCAAAACAACCUGGCAAGAAACAAUAGGCAAAAUGAGCACCAAAGCCAGGAUUC
Molecule: non-coding RNA, 149 nt
Filed under: Paramoeba aestuarina
Lineage: Eukaryota; Discosea; Flabellinia; Dactylopodida; Paramoebidae
Source: RNAcentral